GAUGAACGCUGGCGGCGUGCCUAAUACAUGCAAGUCGAACGGAGAUUGUAGCAAUACGGUCUUAGUGGCGAACGGGUGAGUAACGCGUUGGUAACCUGCCCCGAAGCGUGGGAUAACGGUCCGAAAGGGCCACUAAUACCACAUGUGAUCCCGAGGAAUAGAUACUUGGGAUGAAAGGAGCAAUUCGCUUCGGGAGGGACCUGCGUCCCAUCAGCUAGUUGGUAGGGUAACGGCCUACCAAGGCGAUGACGGGUAGGGGACCUGAGAGGGUGGCCCCCCACAAUGGAACUGAAACAACGGUCCAUACACCUACGGGUGGGCAGCAGUAGGGAAGUAUUGGUUAAUGUGCGAAAGACGCGAACCAGCAACGCCGCGUGUGCGAUGAAGGCCUUCGGUCGUAAAGACACUUUUGUCAGGAAGAGGAAGGACGGUACCGUGCAGAAUAAGUACUCGGCGUAACUACGUGCCAGCAGCCGCGGUAAACGUAAGCGUG
RNAcentral lists this ribosomal RNA (493 nucleotides) under uncultured bacterium. RNAcentral's name for it is "bacterial SSU rRNA". It matches the Rfam family "Bacterial small subunit ribosomal RNA", at positions 28 to 534 of the family's 1533-position model. The record is from RNAcentral.